GGAGGGUGCGAGCGUUGUUCGGAUUUAUUGGGCGUAAAGCGCGUGUAGGCGGUCUUUUAAGUCUGAUGUGAAAGCCCUGGGCUCAACCCGGGAAGUGCAUUGGAAACUGGGAGACUUGAAUACGGGAGAGGGUAGUGGAAUUCCUAGUGUAGGAGUGAAAUCCGUAGAUAUUAGGAGGAACACCGGUGGCGAAGGCGGCUACCUGGACCGAUAUUGACGCUGAGACGCGAAAGCGUGGGGAGCAAACAGGAUUAGAUACCCUGGUAGUCCACGCUGUAAACGAUGGGUGCUCGGUGUCGCGGGUAUCGACCCCUGCGGUGCCUUAGCUAACGCGUUAAGCACCCCGCCUGGGGAGUACGGUCGCAAGAUUA
RNAcentral lists this ribosomal RNA (371 nucleotides) under uncultured bacterium. RNAcentral's name for it is "bacterial SSU rRNA". It matches the Rfam family "Bacterial small subunit ribosomal RNA", at positions 527 to 896 of the family's 1533-position model. The record is from RNAcentral.